RNAcentral lists this ribosomal RNA (436 nucleotides) under uncultured Alphaproteobacteria bacterium. Its description in RNAcentral is "bacterial SSU rRNA". It matches the Rfam family "Bacterial small subunit ribosomal RNA", at positions 43 to 527 of the family's 1533-position model. Lineage: Bacteria; Pseudomonadati; Pseudomonadota; Alphaproteobacteria. The record is from RNAcentral.
CAGGCCUAACACAUGCAAGUCGAACGCACCUUCGGGUGAGUGGCGGACGGGUGAGUAACGCGUGGGAACGUGCCCAAAGGUACGGAACAACUGAGGGAAACUUCAGCUAAUACCGUAUGUGCCCUUAGGGGGAAAGAUUUAUCGCCGAAGGAUCGGCCCGCGUCUGAUUAGCUAGUUGGUGGGGUAAUGGCCCACCAAGGCUACGAUCAGUAGCUGGUCUGAGAGGAUGAUCAGCCUCACUGGGACUGAGACACGGCCCAGACUCCUACGGGAGGCAGCAGUGGGGAAUAUUGGACAAUGGGCGCAAGCCUGAUCCAGCCAUGCCGCGUGGGUGAUGAAGGCCCUAGGGUUGUAAAGCCCUUUCGGCGGGGAAGAUAAUGACGGUACCCGCAGAAGAAGCCCCGGCUAACUUCGUGCCAGCAGCCGCGGUAAUACA